AAACAGAUAGCUAAUACCGGAUAAUAACAGAUGAUGCCUAUCAACUGUUUAAAAGAUGGUUCUGCUAUCACUCUUGGAUGGACCUGCGGUGCAUUAGCUAGUUGGUAGGGUAACGGCCUACCAAGGCGAUGAUGCAUAGCCGAGUUGAGAGACUGAUCGGCCACAUUGGGACUGAGACACGGCCCAAACUCCUACGGGAGGCAGCAGCC
This 209-nucleotide ribosomal RNA is filed under the name uncultured Lactobacillus sp. Its description in RNAcentral is "partial 16S ribosomal RNA". It matches the Rfam family "Bacterial small subunit ribosomal RNA", at positions 153 to 355 of the family's 1533-position model. The record is from RNAcentral. Lineage: Bacteria; Bacillati; Bacillota; Bacilli; Lactobacillales; Lactobacillaceae.